Non-coding RNA from Pelodiscus sinensis (Chinese soft-shelled turtle), 1279 nucleotides. Lineage: Eukaryota; Metazoa; Chordata; Testudines; Trionychidae. The record is from RefSeq and is a predicted model, not a curated record.
CAUGGCAAUUUAAAGGGCCUACGGCUCUGGCCACCACUGCUGCCCAUUGGUUGGCAUGGUAACAGGUGCCUAUAUAAGAGAGCCCUGAAAAUCUGAACAUCCUAUUUCUGGUGCUUCUACUAUGGCCUUGCCUUCACUGGGUUUUACCUCACGUUAACUUGAGCUGAGAACACACUUUUUUCCUCUAGCGAAAGGCCUAACAGGGCAGCUGCAGUUCUUUGGGCUCCUAACAAGAGCGGGAGGAUUGAACUUCACCUCUGAACAUGCUGGAAGUGUAUUCCUCCGAUGUCUGUAUGUGCUAAACAUCAAACCAUAGAACAGUGCACGGGAGAUCUUGCACUGAAGAAGGCCGAGAAUCACACCAGUCUCUUUCUCUGCCAGGACGGACAUUUUUAAAGGCCACAAAACAGUUAAAACCCAUGCUCCUAUGUAACAGCAGGCUCCGCUGGAAGAACUGUGAAAGAUUGGCGGGUUGUAAUGAUGUGCACUUGCUCUGUGGAAAUGCCCACCAGCCAUCUGCAGUGUCCUCUCUGCUACACAUAAGGGGGGGUGCAGCAUCACCAGGAAGAGGGAGCAUUAUUGAUGCUUUUGCCUCGGGGAGGGAAGCCGAUAAUGGAUGUGGGAUAUAGGCCGUGCUUUGUCAUCAAACGAGGGGCCUGAAAGAUGGUGCACUGGAAUAUUAUCAGUCAUUCCUUGAUCAAGAUGUAAUACUAUCAAGGUCCUUUCUCUCUCUCUCUCUCUCUCUCUCUCUCUCUGCACUGCUGAGUGCUUUCAUAUUGGAGGCUGCUGUAGACUUUGACCUUUUGGAGCUAGGAUGCUAGGUCCUCCAAUUCACUCCCUCUUUUAAGCAAUGACCCCCCCCCUCCCCCAAAUCUGAAAGCGAUGAUGUGAACUUCAUUUGAUCGCACAUUCCUGGUCUAUAAGGACUCAUCUUGAAAAGAUCAUAAUAAAACACAACCCUCGGACUUCCUCCACACACAAGACUCCUAUCCUCUCUGCAGCUUUAUUUAUUAUGCGUGUGCAUGCACGUGCGUAAAUGUUAUCUGUACAGUGCUGUUGGCAGGCAAAUAAAAAGGGCAGUCUUUGCCUAGAGAUUGCCAUAGCACAGCCAGAGAGUGCAAUCAUGGAGUUUUAUCACUUCUCACCUGUAUUUAGGCAGAUCAAAUAAUUACAUUUUUACAGCACUGGGUAAUGGCGUGAUGCUGCCAAAUGAGACCUCCCUCCCAGGGAGCUUAAGCGGCAUAUUAGCUUUAUCACUAGAUGACCCAUAAAAUGGUUG